Long non-coding RNA from Saccostrea cuccullata (small rock oyster), 343 nucleotides. RefSeq lists it as uncharacterized. The transcript is spliced from 3 exons. The record is from RefSeq and is a predicted model, not a curated record. NCBI's taxonomy places the organism in Eukaryota, Metazoa, Mollusca, Bivalvia, Ostreida, Ostreidae.
AAUUCCGUUCGCGCACUCUCUACAUUGAGGUCAGGCAUCGGUUGAUUCACUGUAAGACGUUGCGCAAUUUCAAAAUGGCGGACAAAGAUAACUGAUGCUGCAUGUGAAAAGAAGAUAUGAAACAAAAGCCCGUGAGAAAAUGUCAACAUGAAUCAUUUAUGAAUGAAGAUGGAGUCUCUAGCCUAAAAUUUCUUGAGAUAAUCAGUGUUGCCUGGUUCAUCCAAUGAAUCAGAAUGAUCACUCCAUUUGCAGACUAUCAGGUUCCAAUCUGAAGUAUACAAGGGAAGAGUAAAAUCUUUUUCAUUCCUAUUUACAAACACUUCUUAGAUCCAGAAGAAUAUCC